AAAAUAUGCGCCAAACUCUCUGCAACAUAAUGCAGGAGAAACAAAUGGAAAAUUACAUUCACCAGAAAUUACAAAAAGGACCUAUGCAAAUAUAUCAGCAAAGGAUUGCGAAGAUGGAGACAAAUUCAUCAAAAGAUGGAAAUAGAACCAUUGAAUCUACAAGACACCAAAUAUGCCCAUGUGCAGGGUCCACGGCCCUAAAGCUGCUCAAAAUGGUACAUGAUGCCAUAAAACACCCAAAUUGCAAAAAGCAUGAAAUAAUAAAAUCCUAAUACCAUUAAGAAUUUUUUCUGAAAUAACCUGGUAACCAAAU
This 313-nucleotide unclassified non-coding RNA is filed under the name Hevea brasiliensis (rubber tree). Lineage: Eukaryota; Viridiplantae; Streptophyta; Magnoliopsida; Malpighiales; Euphorbiaceae. The record is from RNAcentral.